This 495-nucleotide ribosomal RNA is filed under the name uncultured bacterium. RNAcentral describes it as "partial 16S ribosomal RNA". It matches the Rfam family "Bacterial small subunit ribosomal RNA", at positions 28 to 507 of the family's 1533-position model. The record is from RNAcentral.
GACGAACGCUGGCGGCGUGCCUAAUACAUGCAAGUAGAACGCUGAAGGAGGAGCUUGCUCUUCUGGAUGAGUUGCGAACGGGUGAGUAACGCGUAGGUAACCUGCCUGGUAGCGGGGGAUAACUAUUGGAAACGAUAGCUAAUACCGCAUAAGAGUAGAUGUUGCAUGACAUUUACUUAAAAGGUGCAAUUGCAUCACUACCAGAUGGACCUGCGUUGUAUUAGCUAGUUGGUGGGGUAACGGCUUACCAAGGCGACGAUACAUAGCCGACCUGAGAGGGUGAUCGGCCACACUGGGACUGAGACACGGCCCAGACUCCUACGGGAGGCAGCAGUAGGGAAUCUUCGGCAAGGGACGGAAGUCUGACCGAGCAACGCCGCGUGAGUGAAGAAGGUUGUCGGAUCGUAAAGCUCUGUUGUAAGAGAAGAACGAGUGUGAGAGUGGAAAGUUCACACUGUGACGGUAUCUUACCAGAAAGGGACGGCUAACUACGUG